AGAGAGAGCUCUUAAGCAGGAAUCUAAGGUUCGCAUAUAAUAAGGAAGAGGUGAUUUCUAUGGUGAAGAACUGGAAGUUUUUUUCACCAAUGUGCUGAUGAAGAAAAUGGUAACACCUGAAGAUAUAGAAGGCAGAACAAGGAACUCCUACAUGCUUCAGCUACAGCUUGUACUAAGGCACGCUGCUGCAGUCAGAGGACACAGUUUGCAAUAAUAACAGCGUAUGCUUCAAAAGUUUAGGAGUUCAGAAAACAAUCCUCUUGCAUUAGGUCUACACUUCCCUGAUGGAAGGAUGGUGCAGAAAAAAGUAUGGGAGUUAAUCCUUUAGUUUAUCUCCCCAGAUUGAGCUAUUUUUUCCGUUCUAAUAAUCGCAUGGACAGUCACUGCUCCUGAUAAAGUGGAAUUUUGAUUGAAAAAGUCUGACCCAUAGAAUGCUCUCUGUUAGGUACACCUGUGCAAUGCCUAGAGUAGCCAAGUUCUUUCCCGUAAUUCCAAAAUAACUGUGAAACAUAUAAAUUCCUAGCCUUGACCUUUUUGUGCAUUCCAUACAAUUUUGGCAUAAGAACAGAGUUGCCUGAAGCCCAGACUUGUGCUGCAGUGUAACAGAUCACGAGCAGAAGAACGAUGCAAAUGUUCUGUGCACUUGCACAUUUAUAUCCAUUUCUUCAGGGACCAUAAACAGGAGGUUGAAUGUUUUAAUAUACAACUUAACUUUUUCCCGUAAGCAUGUAACUUCAAGGCUAUUUGCCUCAGAUGGUUAUUCAUGUCUCAGAACAUGUGUAGUUGGAUUGCAUCUUGUUAAUAUUGGCCCUCUUGUUUGAAGUUUGGAACUUCCACACUUACAUCUUGAACAGAGGCAGGGUAUGCAGAGUGUACCAGAUGCAUGGAAUGUCAUUCCUGGAUCCAGGCUCUUAGCAAUUGAGAGACACUUGUUGUUUAUGAAAAUUGAAGAUGGAGAUAUUUGAACCUGUAUGCUAUCAAAACUGGAAGUAAUUGUUUGAGCUGUGUGGAAUUACAAGAGUUUAAGACAGUUUCACUGAUAUAUGGAUCAACUCAAUUUAAAAGCAGUGACUCAGUGUUUGGCAUAUAAGAUGUUAAUACUCUUACUUACAUUGAAAAGGCCAACAACUCUAAAAUUAAAGUAUUGAAGAGUAGGUUG
This is a long non-coding RNA of Gallus gallus (chicken), 1159 nucleotides long. The record is from Ensembl. Lineage: Eukaryota; Metazoa; Chordata; Aves; Galliformes; Phasianidae.